CCCGCCGUCCGAGCCACUCAGAGCGCGCGGCGGCAGACACCCGGGGCCUGCAAUUAAUACCCGGCGCCCGCCCUCCCCGGGACUCGCGCGCCGGCUCUCGGGGAAGGCGCGCCCGCUCCGCCACCAGCUCUGCUCCGGCAGCUCGGCGACUGGGGGCCGAGCCGACGACACGCCGGGCCCCCACCCGAAAGCCGGCCUGAGAGAGGGACGGUGCCUGCCCGCCGAGGUCCCGCGCGAGGGUGCGCUCCGGCCCGCGCCGUCGCGGCCGCGGGAACGGCAGGUGGGCUCGGCGGGAGCGCGCGGGAAGGUGCCCACGGAGUCCUUCGCAUGCACCGGGCUCUUCGCAGUUCUGAACUGUUCUCGACUGAGACCCUAAGAUCCAGGAUUCUAUCUACACUGGAGAUCGCUUGUUUCCCAUGAAGACGUGGUGAAUUCUCUUUUGAGUUUCGACUAACAGAAUAAAAGCAGGUGGCUUGCCGGGUACCGGAGCCAUCACAGGAGAACGAGCUGCCUGUCUGCCCUCUGAUACCCGUGUGUCCUCCAGCACCUGCCUGCUGAGCGCGGGGCUCAAGCCUCUGAAACGCUGAAGACGCACAGGAAGAGUCCUGCUUGUGAAAACCCACAGCCCAGUCCUAGAGGAAAGCAUCCAGAUGUGAAAUACAGGUUUCUCUUGACUGAAAGAGAGCGUUUGGGUGGAUGACCUCGAGCACUCGGAAAGCCGAGCCGUUUGUGGCUGUGGAGCCAUCCCACAUCUUAAGCCAUGGUCUGAAUCUCAGCAUUAAGAUGAGUUCUUUGAAGAAAUUGGCAAGCUGAUCCUAAAAUUGUAUGGAAAAUCAAGGGACCCAUAAUAGCCACAGCCUUGAAAAAGAAGAAAAAAAUAGGAAGACUCAACUUCCUGACUUCAAAACUUACUAUGAGACUGUUAAAUACAACUGAAACCAAGACAGUGUUCUAAUGGCAUAUAGGGGGAAUAGAAUUGAGAAUCUAGAAAUAAGCUCAUACAUUUAUGGUCAAUUGAUUUUUAGCAAAUGUGCCAAAAUAAUUCAAUGAGAAAAGAAUAGUCUCUUCAAUAGAUCACACUGGGGCAACUGGAUAUGCAUGUACAAAAGAAUGAAGCUGGACUCCUACCUUACACUAUGUAUAAAAAUUAACUAAAAAUGGAUUGGAAGCUUAAAUGUAAGAGCUAUGACUUUGAAACUCUUAGAAAAAAACCAUGGACAUAAAAUGACCUUGGAUUCGACAUGCUUUUUUAGAUAUGACACCCAAAAGUGACAACAGAAAAAUAGUCAAAUUGAACUCCAUUAAACUUAAAAAUGUUUGUGCAUCAAAGGACACUAUCAAGAAAGUAAAAAGACAAUCCACAGAAAGGAAGAAAAUAAUUGCAAAUCAUAUGUGUUAAGGGUCUGUAUCUGGAAUAUAUUAAUAUAAAGAACUCUUAUGACUCAGUAAUAAAAAAGAUAACUCUAUUAAAAAUUGGCAAAGCAUCUGAAUAGACAUUUCUCAGAAGAAGAUAUGCUAAUGGCCAAUAGGCACACAAUACAAUUUUUGACACUGUUGUCAACAGCAUAAUGCAAAUUGGCACCUCAGUGAGAAACCACUUCAUAUCCACAAUGAAAGACAAACAAUGACCAGUGUUGGUGAGGAUGUGAAGAAAUUGGAACUCUCAGGAUUUCAAAGCAUCUGCUUUGAAAAACAGUCUGGCAGUUCCUCAAACAAUUAAACAUACAGUUAUCUUUUAUAACCCAGUAUGUCCACUCCUAGGUAUAUAUGCAAGAGAAAUGGAAACAUGUCUACACAAAAACACUAAUGUUUAUAGCAGCAUUAUUCAUAAUACCCAAAGAAUGGAAAUGACCCAAAUGUUUGUCAGCUGAUGAAUGGAUUAUUUUACAAUGUGAUGUGUCCACACAGCAAAAUGUUAUUUGGCUACAAAAAGGAAUGGAGCACUGAUAUGUGCUGAAACAUGGAUGAGCCUUACAAAUACGCUACAUGAAAGAAGCCAGACACCAGAGAACAUGUAUCCUGUGAUUCUUGUUCUAUGAAAUUUCCAGAACAGGCAAAUCUAUAGAGACAGAAAGUAGAAUGGUGGUUGCUUUCGACUGGGGGUGCUCAGGGCUAAAUUAGGAGUAACUGCUAAUGGGUCUGUAGUUUCUUUUUGGGGUGAUGAAAAUGUCUAAAAUUAAUUUGAUAAUGAAGGUACAACUUUGUGGAUAUCCUACAAACCAUUGAAUUACACACUUUAAAUCGGUGAAUUGUAUGGAAUGUGAAUCAUAUGAAUAAAGCUGUUGUGUGUGUCUGUGUAUAUAUAUGGAUGUAUCUUGGAGAUUGAACUGUCAGCACUUGGUGACAGAUGGGAUUUAGGUAGGCAAGGAAGGAAUUAAGGAUGACUCUCAAAUUUUGGCCUUGGGCAGCUUCCGAGAAGGAGAGAAAAACUGAGGGAGGAGGAUUUUGUUUUCCUUUGUUUUAUGAGGAGGGCCAACUUUGAGGAUCAGGUGUUCUGUUGUAGGCGUAUUGAGUUUGAGGGGUAGUGAUAUUAGGCAGGCGACUGAAUAUGAUUUUGGAGUUCCGAGGAGCAAUGGGACUGCAGAUAAGAUUUAAAUGGUGGGAAAGUCCCCAGGAAGGGAUGACAGCAGAGAGGUGGGGGAGGGUUGGUCGCUCAGGAGGGUUGGAGGAGAGAAGGAGCCCCGUGGCCAGGCAGGGAGUAAGGAAAAGGGGGAGUGUGCGAGGGGGUGCUGAACUUAGGUGAUUUAAGAGGAGGGAGGUGUCCACGGAGUCAGGCACUGGGGGCGUCAGUAAGGGAGCGACAGAGGCCUCUGUGGGAACUGCUGAGACGGACAUUGUCCGUGACCUUGCCAAGAGUAGUUCCGAGUGGAGACUCCAGAUCAGAGUGGAUUGAACAGAGAAUGCGAAGUGCUGAAGUGGAAAGAGCUAGGCAACUGUUUCUAGAAGUUUUGCUGUAACCAGACUCUGGUGAAAAUUACUUUAGGAUCUUUCCCUGCUCUGCUGAGACACCUGACAGAGGGCUGGCUGGCUUUGAAGGUAGUGUCUUCCCUUGGAGGCAGUCCUUCUGGGUUCGAGCCAUGAUCUCGGGAGCUGCACGCUGUGAGCAGGGUGGGCUGGGAGAGCAGUGCUGGACUGGGAGAGGAGUGCAAUCUUCGCUUUGGUUUUGAUAUUUUGAUUGGGAGAUAAUUGAAAGAAGGCGUUUACUAAUGUGUUUUUCAAAGUCUAGGUGGAAUUGUUUAAAUAUCUCCGUUUGAAAUCAGAAGAAAAACAAAAGCCACUCCACGCUCUCAGAUGCAGUGAGGUCUUUGCGAAGUGAGUGCUGAGUGCACUCGCACCACGCGUUGCCUGUCGUGGGGUGGCAGUGGAACCGGUGUUUGGACCCCUGAGGUUGUACCGGCGCCUGGAGUGAGCUGGCGGGAAAAGCGGUGACGCCCUCACAAGGCCCGUGCAAAUGCUUUUCGGGACCCUCACAAGUGCGCUGCCCAUGGAGCUUACCGUCUGCAUUAGACUGUUCUUCCCCAUGCUUCUUUACUAUAAUUUAGGUUAUAUGAAAACAAUAAUCUGAUUUCCAAUACCAGAUGUUCCUUCAAGUAACAACCCCAUCUUUCCCUUCUCUUGAGAAAAUAUUACUUAGGCCAUAAAGCCCAUUUGAAAUGUUUUUAGCAAACAUCAUUGUCUAAGUCCAUUUUGUGCUGCCAUAACAGAAUGCCACAGGCUGGGUA
Non-coding RNA from Microcebus murinus (gray mouse lemur), 3722 nucleotides. The record is from RefSeq and is a predicted model, not a curated record. Lineage: Eukaryota; Metazoa; Chordata; Mammalia; Primates; Cheirogaleidae.